RNAcentral lists this ribosomal RNA (207 nucleotides) under uncultured bacterium. Its description in RNAcentral is "partial 16S ribosomal RNA". It matches the Rfam family "Bacterial small subunit ribosomal RNA", at positions 568 to 774 of the family's 1533-position model. The record is from RNAcentral.
UGCGUAGGUGGCGCCGUAAGUCAGGUGUGAAAUCUCGGGGCUUAACUCCGAAACUGCAUUUGAUACUACGGUGCUUGAGGACUGGAGAGGAGACUGGAAUUUACGGUGUAGCAGUGAAAUGCGUAGAGAUCGUAAGGAAGACCAGUGGCGAAGGCGGGUCUCUGGACAGUUCCUGACACUGAGGCACGAAGGCCAGGGGAGCAAACG